This 534-nucleotide ribosomal RNA is filed under the name uncultured bacterium. RNAcentral describes it as "partial 16S ribosomal RNA". It matches the Rfam family "Bacterial small subunit ribosomal RNA", at positions 355 to 903 of the family's 1533-position model. The record is from RNAcentral.
UGGGGAAUAUUGCACAAUGGGCGAAAGCCUGAUGCAGCAACGCCGCGUGAGUGAUGAAGGUCUUCGGAUUGUAAAGCUCUGUCUUUUGGGACGAUAAUGACGGUACCAAAGGAGGAAGCCACGGCUAACUACGUGCCAGCAGCCGCGGUAAUACGUAGGUGGCGAGCGUUGUCCGGAUUUACUGGGCGUAAAGGGUGCGUAGGCGGAUGUUUAAGUGAGAUGUGAAAUACCCGGGCUUAACUUGGGUGCUGCAUUUCAAACUGGAUAUCUAGAGUGCAGGAGAGGAGAAUGGAAUUCCUAGUGUAGCGGUGAAAUGCGUAGAGAUUAGGAAGAACACCAGUGGCGAAGGCGAUUCUCUGGACUGUAACUGACGCUGAGGCACGAAAGCGUGGGUAGCAAACAGGAUUAGAUACCCUGGUAGUCCACGCCGUAAAACGAUGAGUACUAGGUGUAGGAGGUAUCGACCCCUUCUGUGCCGCAGUAAACACAUUAAGUACUCCGCCUGGGAAGUACGAUCGCAAGAUUAAAAACUCU